AUAUAUAUAUAAAUAGAUAGCAUAAAUAGAUAGAUAAAUAGAUAGGGAUUGAUAACUGGACAGUUACCAAUCCCAAAACUCAAAAGCGAUUAAGCCUAUGACCUGAGUUUUGGGAAGAGCAAGGCUACCUGUAAGCAGUCAUAGAAGGAGUGUCUGGGAAACCUGCUUGGAAACGAUUUAGUGGCACGGUACAGCAGUUGUAGGUGCAGACCAAGUCUUGAUGGCCUGCUCAGGACUGACAAAAACAUGUGUUAACAUCUUUAUUAACGAAUAACCAAAUCAAACCCCUUCUCUGACGCAGUCUGACGUGGUAACAUUUAACGAUAUCGAAAGUUAAGAUUUUAUUGUUGGUACCUUCAAAGUACUGAUAAUGAUUUAAAACCGUUUAGGACACUCCCGUCGCUAGUUCACGUCCAGUUUGAUCGUAGAUGCAACGUAGCACGAACGCAGAUUGUUAAGGGUGCUCUUUCUUCAUUUAAAAGCAGACAAUGACCAGUCUCCGUCAAACUCUAUAACCCUGUGAAAUCA
Long non-coding RNA from Cyprinus carpio carpio, 528 nucleotides. The record is from Ensembl. NCBI's taxonomy places the organism in Eukaryota, Metazoa, Chordata, Actinopteri, Cypriniformes, Cyprinidae.